This 1091-nucleotide ribosomal RNA is filed under the name uncultured Eubacterium sp. RNAcentral's name for it is "bacterial LSU rRNA". It matches the Rfam family "Bacterial large subunit ribosomal RNA", at positions 1835 to 2925 of the family's 2925-position model. The record is from RNAcentral. Lineage: Bacteria; Bacillati; Bacillota; Clostridia; Eubacteriales; Eubacteriaceae.
AAGGUGAGGUAUAUGGGCUGACGCCUGCCCGGUGCUGGAAGGUUAAGGGGAGAGCUUAGCGCAAGCGAAGGUUUGAACUUAAGCCCCAGUAAACGGCGGCCGUAACUAUAACGGUCCUAAGGUAGCGAAAUUCCUUGUCGGGUAAGUUCCGACCCGCACGAAAGGCGUAAUGAUUUGGGCACUGUCUCAACAACACACCCGGUGAAAUUGAAAUACCAGUGAAGAUGCUGGUUACCCGCGCCAGGACGGAAAGACCCCAUGGAGCUUUACUCCAGCCUGAUACUGGGAUUCGGUAUUGCAUGUACAGGAUAGGUGGGAGGCUAAGAACUUAUGGCGCCAGCCGUAAGGGAGCCGGUGUUGGGAUACCACCCCUGCAGUACUGGGUUUCUAACCUGCGCCCGUGACCCGGGCGGGGGACAAUGUCAGGCGGGGAGUUUGACUGGGGCGGUCGCCUCCGAAAGGGUAUCGGAGGCGCUCAAAGGUCUCCUCAGGAUGGUUGGAAACCAUCCAGAGAGUGCAAAGGCAGAAGGAGGCUUGACUGCGACACCGACGGGUGGAGCAGGUACGAAAGUAGGACUUAGUGAUCCGGUGGCAUAACGUGGGAUUGCCAUCGCUCAACGGAUAAAAGCUACCCUGGGGAUAACAGGCUUAUCACUCCCAAGAGUUCACAUCGACGGAGUGGUUUGGCACCUCGAUGUCGGCUCAUCGCAUCCUGGAGCUGGAGCAGGUUCCAAGGGUUGGGCUGUUCGCCCAUUAAAGCGGUACGCGAGCUGGGUUCAGAACGUCGUGAGACAGUUCGGUCCCUAUCCGGCGCGGGCGCAGGAUAUCUGAGAGGAGCUGUCCUUAGUACGAGAGGACCGGGAUGGACCGUCCGCUGGUGGACCGGUUGUCAUGCCAAUGGCACGGCCGGGUAGCCAAGACGGGAAGGGAUAAACGCUGAAGGCAUCUAAGCGUGAAGCCCCCCUCAAGAUGAGAUAUCCAGACUCGAAAGAGUGAGAGACCCCUUAGAGACGAUGAGGUAGAUAGGGCAGAGAUGGAAGCACAGCGAUGUGUGGAGUUGACUGUUACUAAUCGGUCGAAAGCUUGACCUU